RNAcentral lists this ribosomal RNA (254 nucleotides) under uncultured bacterium. RNAcentral describes it as "partial 16S ribosomal RNA". It matches the Rfam family "Bacterial small subunit ribosomal RNA", at positions 524 to 776 of the family's 1533-position model. The record is from RNAcentral.
UACGUAGGGUGCAAGCGUUAAUCGGAAUUACUGGGCGUAAAGCGUGCGCAGGCGGUUUUGUAAGUCUGUCGUGAAAGCCCCGGGCUCAACCUGGGAAUUGCGAUGGAGACUGCAAGGCUUGAAUCUGGCAGAGGGGGGUAGAAUUCCACGUGUAGCAGUGAAAUGCGUAGAGAUGUGGAGGAACACCGGUGGCGAAGGCGGCAUCCUGGACCGGCAUUGACGCUGAGUGAGCGAAAGCCAGGGGAGCAAACGGG